Taeniopygia guttata (zebra finch) is the source of this 1062-nucleotide non-coding RNA. The record is from RefSeq and is a predicted model, not a curated record. NCBI's taxonomy places the organism in Eukaryota, Metazoa, Chordata, Aves, Passeriformes, Estrildidae.
UCAGGUCUCAAUUUUUGGUGCAACUGUAAGCAUCCAUUCUUGUUUGUGUGCUUUAGGGAAUCCACUUGGAGUAUGCCAAGCCCCUCUCACCAGCUGGCCGAUGGACUGGGUUUCCUGCGCUUGUGAGUCCUCUGGAAGUAUUUCAGGCCUCUUGAGAUGAAGCCUUGAAAUUUUGUAUUUCAAGAUGGCAUCCGGGCAGCCUUUUGCAAUGGCCCAUGUGUUGUGGCAGACCCUGCGAUGAUGGUGGCAGCCUCUGAGCAUUGCCAAAGUGUGGGGCCUGAGCAACCAGGCAUUCUUAGGAGAAUGGACCACAGCCUGGUGACCACAGGACAUUCCCAGCAGAUGAGGCAGCCUCCAUUAGCACGCAACAUGGAUUCUCAUCCCCAGAUGCCCGAGAGAUAAGUCAAGGGCUAAAGCCCGCAGAGGGGAUGAAAGCGACGUGCUGGGAGGGCAUUUUGAAUCAGCUCUGGGGGCAGGGAUGUGCAAGAAGUGUCCCUUUAGGCCACCUAAAGGGAAAAUGUUUCUUUUGAUCACAGUGCUGAGGUGCGCAGGGCAGAGCAGUUCUGGUGUGUGUCCUGUCACUUGUUUCUGGUGCACUCUGUGUUCUUUGGGUCUCUGAGUCCUUUCUUCUUGUCGAAAGCUCUCGCUCCCUGUCCUGUCCCCUCCUUUGUCACGGGUGUCUGCACAUAUUUGUCCCGGAGCUGCUCUGCCCUGCUGCAUAGCCUGUAAUAGCACAAGUCCUGGGGACUUGAAAUUGGUAAUGCAGGGUGUAUUUGGGCUCUAGAUUGUAUUUGUUGAUUGCCAUAACAUUUUUGGUGCUGUUAAGUUGUCCUGCAGCUGUUUCACACUAGUCCUAACUUCCUUUCAGAUGCAGACAGUUCAAAUCAGUGGCAGAGAGCCCCAGUCCUGGCUGAGGGUGUUGCCAUGAGCAGGAUGUCCAGGCAGAUAGCAGCAGUGAAGGCCCAGUGUGCCAGGUGAGCAGUGGACAGAAGCAGUUCUUCUUGCUCAGGUCUCAAUGUUUGGUGCAACUCUAAGCAUCCAUUCUUGUUUUUGUGCUUUAGG